Molecule: ribosomal RNA, 1116 nt
Filed under: uncultured bacterium
Lineage: Bacteria
Description: bacterial SSU rRNA
Rfam family: Bacterial small subunit ribosomal RNA
Source: RNAcentral
GCUGGGAAACCACCGCCCCCGUGGGGGGGGAUUUGGACCGGGUACCCUCCCCCCACAAGAAAGGUUUUCCGGGCUAAAUUUACCGGGCCCAGGCAAGCCGGCCGGUAAUUACGGUAGGGGAGCAAAGCGGUUGUCCCGGAAUUCAUUGGGGCGUAAAGCCGCGCGUAGGUGGCCCAGGUAAGUUCCGCUGUGAAAGUCAAAGGCUCAACCUUGAAAAGCCCGGUGGAUACUGCAUGGCUAGAGUACGGAAGAGGCGAGUGGAAUUCCUGGUGUAGCGGUGGAAUGCGCAGAUAUCAGGAGGAACACCAAUAGCGAAGGCAGCUCGCUGGGACGUUACUGACACUGAGGCGCGAAAGCGUGGGGAGCGAACAGGAUUAGAUACCCUGGUAGUCCACGCCGUAAACGAUGGGUACUAGGUGUGGGAGGUGUCGACUCCUCCCGUGCCGUCGCUAACGCACUAAGUACCCCGCCUGGGGAGUACGGCCGCAAGGCUAAAACUCAAAGGAAUUGACGGGGGCCCGCACAAGCAGCGGAGCAUGUGGUUUAAUUCGACGCAACGCGAAGAACCUUACCUGGGCUUGACAUGUUGGUGACCGCCGUGGAAACACGGUUUUCCUUCGGGACACCAUCACAGGUGGUGCAUGGCUGUCGUCAGCUCGUGUCGUGAGAUGUUGGGUUAAGUCCCGCAACGAGCGCAACCCCCGUUCCAUGUUGCCAGCAUUUAGUUGGGGACUCAUGGGAGACUGCCGGUGACAAACCGGAGGAAGGUGGGGAUGACGUCAAGUCAUCAUGCCCCUUAUGUCCAGGGCUACACACGUGCUACAUUGGCGCAUACAAAGGGCAGCAAUACCGCGAGGUGGAGCAAAUCCCAGAAAGUGCGCCUCGGUUCGGAUUGGAGGCUGAAACUCGCCUCCAUGAAGGUGGAGUUGCUAGUAAUCGCGGAUCAGCAAUGCCGCGGUGAAUACGUUCCCGGGCCUUGUACACACCGCCCGUCACACCACGAAAGCGAGCAACACCCGAAGCCGGUGGCCUAACCGCAAGGAGGGAGCCGUCGAAGGUGGGGCCCGUGAUUGGGGUGAAGUCGUAACAAGGUAGCCGUAGCGGAAGCUGCGGCUG